Molecule: ribosomal RNA, 649 nt
Filed under: uncultured Lachnospiraceae bacterium
Lineage: Bacteria; Bacillati; Bacillota; Clostridia; Lachnospirales; Lachnospiraceae
Description: bacterial SSU rRNA
Rfam family: Bacterial small subunit ribosomal RNA
Source: RNAcentral
UAUUUCAUUGAGACUUCGGUGGAUUUGAUCUAUUUCUAGUGGCGGACGGGUGAGUAACGCGUGGGUAACCUGCCUUAUACAGGGGGAUAACAGUCAGAAAUGGCUGCUAAUACCGCAUAAGCGCACAGAGCUGCAUGGCUCAGUGCGAAAAACUCCGGUGGUAUAAGAUGGACCCGCGUUGGAUUAGCUAGUUGGUGGGGUAACGGCCCACCAAGGCGACGAUCCAUAGCCGGCCUGAGAGGGUGAACGGCCACAUUGGGACUGAGACACGGCCCAGACUCCUACGGGAGGCAGCAGUGGGGAAUAUUGCACAAUGGGGGAAACCCUGAUGCAGCGACGCCGCGUGAAGGAAGAAGUAUCUCGGUAUGUAAACUUCUAUCAGCAGGGAAGAUAGUGACGGUACCUGACUAAGAAGCCCCGGCUAACUACGUGCCAGCAGCCGCGGUAAUACGUAGGGGGCAAGCGUUAUCCGGAUUUACUGGGUGUAAAGGGAGCGUAGACGGUGUGGCAAGUCUGAUGUGAAAGGCAUGGGCUCAACCUGUGGACUGCAUUGGAAACUGUCAUACUUGAGUGCCGGAGGGGUAAGCGGAAUUCCUAGUGUAGCGGUGAAAUGCGUAGAUAUUAGGAGGAACACCAGUGGCGAAGGCGG